CAACCCGUGUGCUGCUGGGCCUCUGGCUUUGGUGUGAAGCAGCGCUUCGUUCUCCACUCGUGUCUCCUUCUGUCCGAUCAGUAAAUCAGUCUCCUGAUUCUGUACAGCUCUCAGAAUGAAACCAGAGUCCAGACGGAGCUCCAGAGGAAAAACUCCACACACUCCUGAUGAUACUGGGUCAAAGAUGCAUCAAUGUUCAGAUUGUGGAAAGAGUUUUACUAAAAAAUAUCUCAAAACGCACCAGCGGAUUCACACUGGAGAGAAGCCGUAUGAGUGCUCACAGUGUGGGAAGAGUUUUAGUCUGUGGAAUUCUCUCUACAUGCACAAGCGCAUCCAUAUAGAAGAGAGGCCAUUUCACUGUCGAUUGUGUGGGAUGGGUUUUAAUUUUAAACCUCAUCUCCAACGGCAUGAGCUCGUCCAUACGGGAGAGAAGCCAUUUCAAUGUCAAUUGUGUGGGAUGUGUUUUGCUCGUAAAACUCAUCUUCAACGGCAUGAGCUCGUCCACACAAGAGAGAGGCCAUUUCAAUGUCGAUUGUGUGGGAUGAGUUUUGUUCGUAAAACUAAUCUCCAGCUGCAUGAGCGCAUCCACACAGGAGAAAGGCCAUAUUACUGUGGACAAUGUGGGAAGAGUUUUACUCGUGAAAGUUAUGUCCAAAAGCAUAUGCUCACCCACACAGGAUAGAAACUGUAUCAGCGUGGAUGUUGCUUACAGAACUAUAACUCAUUAUGUUCAUAUGUAUAGCCAUGAGCUCCUGAUCAUGACCAGAAGGGGGCGGUAAUGGAACAUUAUGGAUUUUCUCAAAUGGAACUACAUUAUAUUUGGUUGAAGGUUGAUAAUGGACUGAAAAGUAUUCUGGUAAACGGAGUAAGAGAACAAGGUACAGAGUGUUUAUUGGGUUUCAUAAGGGUAAUGGAACAUUAUGGAUUUUCUCAAAUGGAACUAUGUUAUUUAACCAGUGUGAAUUCCUCACAAUAAGAUAUGCAAACAGAACCCGAACUAAGGCAAUUUGGGGGGAUAUUUCUGGUCGACCUUACUGUGUCAUUGCACUGUCCUUUUAAUCUUAGCUAGUUAUAUUGUUUGGCCAAAAGUAUAGUGCUGUCUGACCACCACCAGAUAUCAGUUCAUUACAGCAAGCAAAUCGAACAAUAUGUGAGAACGAACAGAGAACACAGGCUGCAGGACACAAAUGCCACCUGAAGUGAUGAGCUGCAUAAAAAAAUAAGUUAUCAGACAGGCUUAUCAAACAGGAGCAGAGAAUAAUUACACAAGAUCAACCUCACCCUGACUUUUGAACACCACAGAUAGAGGUAUUGGUAGAGGUAUCCAAUAGUAAUGGUAGUAUGGGGCCAUCGGGAGGACAUCAGCCCUGUGAGGACAAAGUGUUUGACUGUGAGGUGUGAGCAGUGGUGGACAGUAAAGUAAUAAAUGUAAUUAGUUACUCGACUUAAGUAUUUUUUGUACCUUUUCACAGCUAUGAACAGACAUUUGUUUAGUUUUAUUGCCCCCUGACUGUCA
This is a long non-coding RNA of Clarias gariepinus (North African catfish), 1516 nucleotides long. RefSeq lists it as uncharacterized. The record is from RefSeq and is a predicted model, not a curated record. NCBI's taxonomy places the organism in Eukaryota, Metazoa, Chordata, Actinopteri, Siluriformes, Clariidae. The transcript has 3 exons.